CCUACGGGUGGCAGCAGUGGGGAAUAUUUGACAAUGGGCGAAAGCCUGAUCCAGCCAUGCCGCGUGUGUGAAGAAGGCCUUCGGGUUGUAAAGCACUUUCAGUGGGGAAGAAAGCCUUGGGGCUAAUACCCUCGAGGAAGGACAUCACCCACAGAAGAAGCACCGGCUAACUCCGUGCCAGCAGCCGCGGUAAUACGGAGGGUGCGAGCGUUAAUCGGAAUUACUGGGCGUAAAGCGCGCGUAGGCGGUCUGAUAAGCCGGUUGUGAAAGCCCCGGGCUCAACCUGGGAACGGCAUCCGGAACUGUCAGGCUAGAGUGCAGGAGAGGAAGGUAGAAUUCCCGGUGUAGCGGUGAAAUGCGUAGAGAUCGGGAGGAAUACCAGUGGCGAAGGCGGCCUUCUGGACUGACACUGACGCUGAGGUGCGAAAGCGUGGGUAGCAAACAGGAUUAGAUACCCCUGUAGUC
Molecule: ribosomal RNA, 465 nt
Filed under: Vreelandella stevensii
Lineage: Bacteria; Pseudomonadati; Pseudomonadota; Gammaproteobacteria; Oceanospirillales; Halomonadaceae
Description: partial 16S ribosomal RNA
Rfam family: Bacterial small subunit ribosomal RNA
Source: RNAcentral